This 74-nucleotide transfer RNA is filed under the name Candidatus Doudnaibacteriota bacterium. RNAcentral's name for it is "Candidatus Doudnabacteria bacterium tRNA-Ala". It matches the Rfam family "tRNA". Rfam says of the family: Transfer RNA (tRNA) molecules are approximately 80 nucleotides in length. Their secondary structure includes four short double-helical elements and three loops (D, anti-codon, and T loops). Lineage: Bacteria; Candidatus Doudnaibacteriota. The record is from RNAcentral.
GGGCUUAUAGUUCAGUGGUAGAACGGGGCAUUCGCAUUGCUCAGACGGCGGUCCGAUUCCGCCUAAGUCCACCA